This 465-nucleotide ribosomal RNA is filed under the name uncultured bacterium. Its description in RNAcentral is "partial 16S ribosomal RNA". It matches the Rfam family "Bacterial small subunit ribosomal RNA", at positions 28 to 507 of the family's 1533-position model. The record is from RNAcentral.
GACGAACGCUGGCGGCGUGCUUAACACAUGCAAGUCGAACGGAAAGGCCCUGCUUGCAAGGUACUCGAGUGGCGAACGGGUGAGUAACACGUGGGUGAUCUGCCCUGCACUUCGGGAUAAGCCUGGGAAACUGGGUCUAAUACCGGAUAGGAGCCAUUUUUAGUGUGAUGGUUGGAAAGUUUUUUCGGUGUAGGAUGAGCUCGCGGCCUAUCAGCUUGUUGGUGGGGUAAUGGCCUACCAAGGCGGCGACGGGUAGCCGGCCUGAGAGGGUGGACGGCCACAUUGGGACUGAGAUACGGCCCAGACUCCUACGGGAGGCAGCAGCGGGGAAUAUUGCACAAUGGGCGCAAGCCUGAUGCAGCGACGCCGCGUGGGGGAUGACGGCCUUCGGGUUGUAAACUCCUUUCGCUAGGGACGAAGCUUUUUGUGACGGUACCUAGAUAAGAAGCACCGGCUAACUACGUG